AUUUGAUCCUGGCUCAGGAUCGAACGCUGGCGGCGUGCUUAACACAUGCAAGUCGAGCGGUAAGGCCCUUUCGGGUACACGAGCGGCGAACGGGUGAGUAACACGUGGGUGAUCUGCCUCGUACUUCGGGAUAAGCCUGGGAAACUGGGUCUAAUACCGGAUAUGACCUCUGGUUGCAUGACCAGGGGUGGAAAGAUUUAUCGGUACGAGAUGGGCCCGCGGCCUAUCAAGCUUGUUGGUGGGGUAAUGGCCUACCAAGGCGACGACGGGUAGCCGGCCUGAGAGGGCGACCGGCCACACUGGGACUGAGACACGGCCCAGACUCCUACGGGAGGCAGCAGUGGGGAAUAUUGCACAAUGGGCGAAAGCCUGAUGCAGCGACGCCGCGUGAGGGAUGACGGCCUU
This 405-nucleotide ribosomal RNA is filed under the name Nocardia asteroides. RNAcentral's name for it is "bacterial SSU rRNA". It matches the Rfam family "Bacterial small subunit ribosomal RNA", at positions 11 to 418 of the family's 1533-position model. The record is from RNAcentral. Lineage: Bacteria; Bacillati; Actinomycetota; Actinomycetes; Mycobacteriales; Nocardiaceae.